This 2434-nucleotide long non-coding RNA is filed under the name Rattus norvegicus (Norway rat). RNAcentral's name for it is "long non-coding RNA NONRATT004675". The record is from RNAcentral. Lineage: Eukaryota; Metazoa; Chordata; Mammalia; Rodentia; Muridae.
UCUGAUUGACAGACCAAGGCUCUGUCCAUUACCUCCUCAGAUCUCUAGGAAGAGCUAGCCUGCAGUUGUCUGUCUGCUUGAAGCAGUGUUAACCAUGAUGUUAUGGAAACCUUAAUCCAUGGGAACUCUGGCUGCUCUGAAGCUCAGAUUAGAUAGCCAAAAUAUUUUUAUUUUGAUGCCAAUACUUACUUGGUGUCAGAGGCCCAUACGUACCCACUGCUCAAUGAACCGAACAUAGCCAGACGUUUUGUAAAGACUCUGGCAGUGUCCGCAGUGUUUCUUCAUUCCUGUGAGAGGGAUCGGCAGUGCCCACCCUCUCCUUUUGUCUCCUCUUUGGUAUAUUAGGGUUGCUAAGACAGUGUUUAUUUGGUUUAUAGAAACGGACUCUGACCAGGCCCAGAGAGUGAACGAACUGCCCCACUUGUACUGCAGUUUGCCAGCUUCCCUGAGAAGAGGGACAAGGUCACUUAGGGAUGCUCCGUGGGUCAGGGCCUGGCGGGGAGGAGCAGACCUGUUUCCAGUGUUACUGUUUUGCAGUGUUAAUGCGAGUAUUAAAUUGUAUAACCCUGUAGAUGCUAGGCUAGGGUAGCUACUAACUUCUGAUAAGGUGUGUGGGAACCUCUUUCUAGGGAGCCCUCUUUAAACCCUGUGUGGCUUUACAUGUAGCAGUUUAUUCUCUGGUCCAACUUCCUAUUGCAAGAACUAGAUUCCCAAGUGUCCUAGUUUCUAUUUAGUUUUGUUUUUUGAUAUGUAUAUAGAAAGAUAAACCUAUUUUGUGGCCUUUAAUAAUGAGAACUAUCUCAGUAUUACUGUAUUAUUAUAGAAAAUGUAGUGUGCACAUGCAGGGUUGGUUUCUUUACCUGAGAGGGACAGGUAAGACACUGUAAGUUUACAGGCUCAGCAGACAUUGUGAAGUGCGGUAGAGUCCGCAGAUUUCAAACUGGCAAAUGGGCGCCCUUUGUUACUGAAAUUGGUGGUUUCUUUUGCUGGGUUUCAAUGGGAAGCAGUUAGCAAUGGUCUGCGUUCUGCCUGCUGCUCGUCGAGGGCUUUCCUGGUGCAGCAGGCUGGCUUAGCUCCUGAUGCCCUUCACUGGUAGUUUCUCCUUUUUUUCUUCAUAUUUUUCCCUUCAGUGUUGUUUGUUUGAUAGGAUGCCUUGUUAUUUUUAAUAUGAGCUGCAUGAGCCACAACACUUGGUUACAAAGGGGCAUUGUUUUUUAAACAUUUGAUUUUUAUUUAAAAACAAUUUCACAACAUGUAUACUAGCCUUUUGGACUCUGAAGUUAUUAAUUAGAGGCUAUUUUUCUGAAAAUGAAUCUAUAUUCUUUCACAGUGCCAAACCACCUAUCUUUGUGAAAUGAGUUAAUCCGGGUUUGGGGUGUCUUUUCCCACCUUUUAUUUGGGAAGGGGAGGUUGGCUUCUGACUGAGUUCAUGCCAAUGGACCUGUUAAUAAUCUGUGCUUGCUCGUGUUCUCUCUGUACGUUUGGAACAUUCCCAGAAUGGAACCUGUCAUGUUCAAGACAGCUCUCUUCAAAGGGAGGAGACCUUAAAUGCAGAUUGUUUCCUUCUGUUCUGUAAACCUCCAGUGGGGAAGGAGCAGUAUCCUUUUCUUCAGAGCGGUUGUUAAGAUGGGUUGAUGGCUAACUGUCAUGUGGCUGAGCAAGAUGGCCGCCUGAGUAGCAUACAGGAGAGGGUGAGCCGCAGGCAUGGCCUCGUGCACCCUGACUUUAUUUUACCGUUUUGCUCACCGUGAGAGCUAUUGCUCUCCUAGUAUGAGGGUCAAAAAGACAUCCUGGGGAAAUAAGAAAUGGGCUGGGCUGAUGGAGAUAAGGAAGAAGAAAAAACUUGGAUGAUUCCCAUCUAUAGACUGUAACCCUGUUUGGAAACCCUAACUCAGCUCUGAAGGGGACACUGUCUCUAACCCGUGCUGUUAAUUCUUUGUAUGAAGGUAGAUGGAUAUACUAAUAACAUUACCUGGUUCUUUCUGCAUAUCAUUGCACUCAACCUUUGGAGCCCUGCUGCUUAUGAUUUCCACCCCCCUAAAUUUACUCUCUCUGGCACGGCAGCAUCUUGACGUUCAGUCUUUAAGAUCCUUUGUUUGUCUGGCAGCAAGAGCUUAUUCCGGUCUGUGACUUUCUCAAAGAGUCAGCAAGCCCUCUGGGGCUACCUGCCUGUGAAGCAGUUCUUUUUGACAUGGAAAAUCUUUGUAUUUUAAUCAGCGCCUUAUUAUUUUUUGGCUGCGUCUCUGAUGUCUCUCUUCAGCAUAGACAUUUCUGUGUGAAUGUGCCGUUUGGGACUUGCUUUCUUCUCUCCCUCUGCAAACACUGGCCUGCAUGCUUACUCCGAUGACUCCUUUCUAGCUCUCUGUACCACUCUCUUCUGCGAUCUGUAAGUCCUGUGUUAAUAAACGAUUCUUUGGCAUAUUUUGAAACUGUG